This 22-nucleotide microRNA is filed under the name Heligmosomoides polygyrus. RNAcentral's name for it is "hpo-miR-10142-3p". The record is from miRBase by way of RNAcentral. Lineage: Eukaryota; Metazoa; Nematoda; Chromadorea; Rhabditida; Heligmosomidae.
CAGACACAGCAGUUUCCAUUCC